GUUAGACACAGCAUGGCUGCCCGCGGCCUCUCAUGAACCAGGAUUCUGUCCACCUACAUUUUAGGGUGUAUUCUCCAGCUGGCUUCUGAAUGAUCAUAUUCACUGAUCAUGUCUUCAUGGUGGUGGUUGGGUACCAUUAGCUGUUAGACAGGGAUGGGGCCACAGCCUUUUGUUAGAAGGUCUGGGGGAGAGAGUCCAGAUAGGCUGAACAUUUCAGCCCAGCAAGGUGAGAGGCACUGUGUGGGAAACAGCAAGGUUUGCAGGAUACCCAAGCUGGGCUACCCCGUGGAGGAUGUAGAGACAAGAGCAGGUUGUUGAGGGUCAGAUGAGCCAGGCAGGAGCUUUAGGCACUGUUACAGAAGAAACUGAAUUAUCAAAGCCACUAAGGGUAGGUGGGUGGCAGUGACAUCCUUAUAAAACCUGUCCUUCUUCUCUGGCCCCAUCCCUGUCUAACAGCUAAUGGUACACAGAGGAUAUAUACGGUCAGUGAACAUAAUCCUUCAGAAGCAAGCUGGUGAAUACACCCUAAAAUGACAGGGACUGAGAUGACAGCCAUCCCCACCGACCAAUCCUCUUUCCCUGGUUGUGUGUAGCCCUGAGCCCUCAGAUCUGUGGGUGGUUGGUUUCAGAUCAGCACUGGGUCGUCUAUCAUGCAUCCACUCUACCCAGGACAGAACACGUGAAUGUGAUCUAAAGGCCACUUUGUUUUCUGCAAGGCAGAACUCUAUUCUAAUCUACCGUUCAGAAGCAUGGCAGCACAGCAUCUGCAAAAACAUCUGCUGGGAAUGUUAUGUAUCUUACAAGUGCUAAGGAUGGUUACAAAGUUUCAUGUAAGGACUUGGCCAGAAAAGGCUGGCAAAGCCUGGGAACAUGGGGGAAGCCUGUGUUUGUGUUCUGGGUAGGGAGAGGUUCCCUUCAGGGUAGAGGGAGGCUGGGAUCUCAAAAGCCGUUUCCUGCUGAUGCUGCCUUCUGCCAGUUUGGUACUUUCCCAAAGCAGGUCUCUAAGACUGCUAGGUACUUGUUUUUAAUUCCUUUCACCACCCCAUAUGUAGCUCAGCUCUGGACAUAAAGACUUCUGAAGCUCACAAAAGAAUCCAGCUGGUUCCCAAUACCUCCUGCUUAGGGGACCAAUCUGGAUCUUUUUCAGACACCCAGAUGGAACCUACCUAGCCAACUCCCCAAUCGCCACUUGGUGGGUCCCAUACUUCAGGUUCAGCAACGCUGUACCCUGUUGAGGCUGGGGAGUGGCACAUCAGCACCCAGCAUGGUGCUCUGCAGCCCACUGGGUCGUUAGAAGAGACAAGAUGAGCCCCAGAUGCUAGAGGAAGAAGGCAGAGAGUCACACCCCCCUCUGAGACAGAUAAACACAGGGAAGUGUGUGAGUCAAUGGGCUAUCAGAAGUUGUCUUGCUGGCUCUGUAUGAACAGGGAGGUUGGUGACAUUAGGGGUCUUGGUAAUGAGGAGAAAGAGAGUGCACUUUGAUCUGAAGUAUGGCCAGUGGAUUUGCCAGCUUCUUGAGGGACAGAAGAUCAUCAGAAGUAAUGGGAAAAUGGUAAUAAAUUAUAUAAGCUUGGAGCUUUGAGUACUUUUGCGGAAUAUAAUUGAGUGUUUUCCCUAGAAUUUCAUUCAAAGCAACCAUUGACACCACCACACUGUUGAAGCCAAAGGAGAUACUAUUAAAGGAACACAUCCCCACUCACUGGACAGUCGAUGGUCGUCAUCAUUUAUGAGCUACUUGGCCUACCUUACCAAGAACGGCACCGUCCACAGUGAGCUGGGCUCUCUCAUAUCAGUCAUCAAUCAAGCAAAUGUCCCACUGACAAGCCCACAGGCCAAUCGGAUGGAGGCCGACCCUUGUUACAGGUUUCCUCUUUCCAGGACCUGACUCUAGAUUGCUGGCCGUUCUGUGGGACACGAAAAGGCCGAACAAGUGUGGAGUAGACGCCAAAGAUGGGUCUGAAUGAGAAACACCACGUAGAGCUGGAACAUUGGGAAGCUUUGACAGAAAAUCUUGCCCCCUUCACCAAGCUUUUGUGUGUUUCUCCUAACUGUGAUUGCCUCAGGAGAGCCUAGUCUCCCAUGAGACGCUUGCCUGCUGCCGUGCACUUCCUUGAACUGGAGUCUGCAGUGUCCCUGGCCUCCGGGAUUUCACCCUUUGUCCUUCUCAGUAUAAUCCAGGAAUCUGCACUAUUGUGCAGGCAUUUGUCUGUUUACUUUAAUGAAGGCGACCAGGUUUGUAAUUGUCUAUUAAAUGGUCUAUUAAAUAGUGUCAUAGCUAGAGGGACCUCGGCAAAAAUAACCAGUUUUUUUUAGUGCUCCACAAAUCCCUCUUCACAUGUGUUUUUUGCAGCACUUUUGGAAAUGUAGCUUAGAGCAUUCUUUCUUGUUUUCUAAAGGAUCUCAUAGCCUAGAGCUAUUCUAGUGACUGCCUUUCCCCAGAAUUUGUCUUGGAUGCGUAAUUCCUCCUGCUUCUCACUGGAUACUCCUCCAGGAGUGUGUGCCCUCUUCUUGGUUGGCCUGAUGUCUUAGCCUUCUGGAUUUUGUUCCAUUUUCCUUUUCCUUAGCUACUCUUCAGCCAUAAGCUCACUUCCCAUCCUGGCUUCUUUACUCUGCCCUGUGUUUUGGCUUGCCUCCCUGCCACCUUAAACUGUGUGCCUCAUGUUUGGGUGGCCAUUCUCUCAGUGCUCCUGCUCAGAACAACUGUGCUGCCCCAGCUCUCAGCUGCAAGCAGCAAGUGUUCCUAGAGAACAUUUUGCCUGGGUGAAAUCUAGCUGUAGGGGUUUGAAGGGAUCAUAAGGAGCUACUCUGGCCAGUCUCCCAUUCAAGGAAUGUUCAAGCAGAAAUUCAAGCAAUAAUUAGGGACUUGACACUUAUUGCUUGUGUCACUCGCUUAUCACAUUAAUCUUUCACACCAGAGGAUAAAAUAGAGAGGAUAAGACCAAAAUAGAUUUCUCGCUUCAACAGAAAGGUGAGCAUGCACAAAGGUGAGGUUCCGUGUGUACCAUGGAGUGGCUUCACAGAGUGCUGGGAAGAUGGAGGGCGAUCUAAGAGGCCCUGAAUUGUGCCUUGGGGGAGAGGACAAACUCAGCUAGAUGGAAUUAAGCUUUGAGGAAUUUGCUUUCUGGAUUUUUAAGAGAAGAUUGCAUUGUGGGACUCCAAGGCCGCCACUUCAGCUGAUUUCCAAGGCUGAGGGGCCCAGGGAGCUGUUUGCAAGGUUCCCGAGCUACCCUGUGUCUCCUCAUGGGCUCAAGGGAGCUGAGCAACAGAUCCAGGAUUCCUGCUGGAGCCUGGUACCUGCCUGGAGAGAUACCCAGAGAGCAAAGAUUAGAGUGAAGCCUGGCCCCAGGCUGCCUGUUCUUUGUUCUAUGUGCUAAUGGUGUCCUUGUAUGCUGCCUUCUCUCUGUUUUGAGUACCUCUCCUGUCUCUGGCAUAAAGGAUGGGCAAUUCCACACCCACAGCAUUGCAUAUUGAGCAAUUAAAUUGUGUUUGGCUUAUGA
This is a long non-coding RNA of Mus musculus (house mouse), 3497 nucleotides long. RefSeq annotates it as predicted gene, 36431. Lineage: Eukaryota; Metazoa; Chordata; Mammalia; Rodentia; Muridae. The transcript is spliced from 6 exons. The record is from RefSeq and is a predicted model, not a curated record.